GGCAGCACGGACUUCGGUCUGGUGGCGAGUGGCGAACGGGUGAGUAACAUAUCGGAACGUAUCCAAUAAUGGGGGAUAACUAAUCGAAAGGUUGGCUAAUACCGCAUACGCCCUACGGGGGAAAGCUAGGGACCUUCGGGCCUGGCGUUAAUGGAGCGGCCGAUAUCUGAUUAGCUAGUUGGUGGGGUAAAGGCCCACCAAGGCGACGAUCAGUAGCUGGUCUGAGAGGACGACCAGCCACACUGGAACUGUGACACGGUCCAGACUCCUACGGGAGGCAGCAGUGGGGAAUUUUGGACAAUGGGCGCAAGCCUGAUCCAGCCAUUCCGCGUGAGUGAAGAAGGCCUUCGGGUUGUAAAGCUCUUUCGCAAGGGAAGAAAACUUAGCCACUAACAUUGGCUGAGGUUGACGGUACCUUGAUAAGAAGCACCGGCUAACUACGUGCCAGCAGCCGCGGUAAUACGUAGGGUGCGAGCGUUAAUCGGAAUUACUGGGCGUAAAGCGUGCGCAGGCGGUUUUGUAAGUCAGAUGUGAAAUCCCCGAGCUCAACUUGGGAACUGCGUUUGAAACUACAAGACUCGAAUAUGUCAGAGGGGGGUAGAGUUCCACGUGUAGCAGUGAAAUGCGUAGAGAUGUGGAGGAAUACCAAUGGCGAAGGCAGCCCCCUGGGAUAAUAUUGACGCUCAUGCACGAAAGCGUGGGGAGCAAACAGGAUUAGAUACCCUGGUAGUCCACGCCCUAACGAUGUCUACUAGUUGUUGGUGGAGUAAAUCCAUGAGUAACGCAGCUAACGCGUGAAGU
This 801-nucleotide ribosomal RNA is filed under the name uncultured bacterium. Its description in RNAcentral is "bacterial SSU rRNA". It matches the Rfam family "Bacterial small subunit ribosomal RNA", at positions 68 to 865 of the family's 1533-position model. The record is from RNAcentral.